Molecule: ribosomal RNA, 279 nt
Filed under: Lachnospira eligens
Lineage: Bacteria; Bacillati; Bacillota; Clostridia; Lachnospirales; Lachnospiraceae
Description: partial 16S ribosomal RNA
Rfam family: Bacterial small subunit ribosomal RNA
Source: RNAcentral
UAUGGGUGUGCCAGCCGCCGCGGUAAUACGUAUGGAGCAAGCGUUAUCCGGAUUUACUGGGUGUAAAGGGAGUGUAGGUGGCCAUGCAAGUCAGAAGUGAAAAUCCGGGGCUCAACCCCGGAACUGCUUUUGAAACUGUGAGGCUGGAGUGCAGGAGGGGUGAGUGGAAUUCCUAGUGUAGCGGUGAAAUGCGUAGAUAUUAGGAGGAACACCAGUGGCGAAGGCGGCUCACUGGACUGUAACUGACACUGAGGCUCGAAAGCGUGGGGAGCAAACAGG